This is a long non-coding RNA of Mauremys mutica (yellowpond turtle), 488 nucleotides long. RefSeq lists it as uncharacterized. Lineage: Eukaryota; Metazoa; Chordata; Testudines; Geoemydidae. The record is from RefSeq and is a predicted model, not a curated record. The transcript is spliced from 3 exons.
UGAAACCAUGGUGAGGUUGCAACCUUUCAGGGCUUUGGCAGAAAUCCUGGUUGGGGGAUUGGUCUGGAUAUAUUGAACACCAUGGGAGUCUUGCCUGUGACCUCAGGCAGUAAGUCUCAGUUCAGCUCUAAUAACUGUAUUUAGGACACAGUGUUAAAUGCUUUCCUCCCAGAGAGGAACCUGUGGGCACCAAGAGUGCUUUAAAACCCUGUAUUAAAGGCUGGGUGGAAAAUCUGUUGGAUUCUCAAUGCUACUAUUGGUUCCUGGUCUGCAAAUGUGACUUAUGGUCUCACUCUUGCAAGGCUGGUCCACAUAGAGGAUGACAACCUACUAUUGCUACCACUUACCCAUAAACUCCAGUGGCAGAGGUAUUUGUGUUGUGAAUCAAAGUCUGAACCCUACUAAUGAUGGAAGCUGGUGAUCAGUAUAAGGACACAUGAUAGAAUUUGUUUGGUUUUCUUUUUCAAGGUUUUUUAAUUAAGACAGUG